CCCAGGCUCAAGGCAAAUUAUAAGUAGGGAACCAAUUUGAGGGAAAGACAUAUGAACAGAGUUAAGGUACCACGUCCUGGGAGUGACCAGCAGCCCCACCUGAAGUCCGCAUGCAACUCUGACAAGCUCAGGUGCUUGUUUUAAGGAAAGGGGCUACUAGAUUCUUACCAACAGCGAGCCCAGGUGGGAGAUGAAACAGGUACUCCCCAAAAUAGGUCAUCGGAGGGAGGAAAACUGAUGGAGAGCACAAUAUGCUCUAAGCGGUUUUAAUGUUUUUAAGCUUUUAAAUGAUUUCUUCGAGGCCGAGCAGCAGCAAAGGUGUGGUUUAAAGGAUUAAGAGGGUUUUGCUGACACCUAGAAUGAAGUUACUCUAUUACUAACCAAGCCGAGAGGAGGCCCACUAUGCCCCCGUUUAUCAUCCUUUCCCAGUUCCUUUUUGCUGGUCACAAAACGAUGCUCAUCAAUCCCACCUAAAGCAGGAGGCCGGGAGCCCAGCCUCUUGUAGAAACAGCGAGGGUAUAACUGCCCUCCCGUUCUGCCCCCAAGACGAAGGAGGACUCUUGGAAGCCAAGAAAGGUUUAAGAAGUCUUUCUGGAUAGAGGGAGGAAGCCUUUCGCCGGCAGAGCGGGGUCCGAGGACGAGCUGGAGAGGACAGAGGCGCGAUGGGCCUGCUGCAGGGCCUGCUCCGAGUCCGGAAGCUGCUGCUGGUCGUCUGCGUCCCACUCCUGCUGCUGCCUCUGCCCGUCCUCCACCCCAGCAGCGAGGCCUCGUGUGCUUACGUGCUGAUCGUGACUGCUGUGUACUGGGUGUCGGAGGCAGUGCCUCUGGGAGCUGCAGCCCUGGUGCCGGCCUUCCUCUACCCGUUCUUCGGAGUCCUCCGAUCCAAUGAGGUGGCGGCGGAGUACUUCAAGAACACCACGCUGCUGCUGGUGGGGGUCAUCUGCGUGGCGGCUGCUGUGGAGAAGUGGAACCUGCAUAAGCGCAUUGCUCUGCGCAUGGUCUUGAUGGCUGGAGCCAAGCCGGGCAUGUAAGUCUUAUUUGGGAUGCCAGGCCGUAGGGCAUCCUUCUAGCUCCCACCAGGACAGUGGUCUCAGGUCACUGCAGGAUGUCCACUUCAGCCUGUUUUUUUACCAAAGGGAUGGGCUGACACCAGAGCCAUAGGACCCGUCCAGGUAGAGGGCCUGUGAUAAUGGAGUAGAGAUUUGAACCUGUGACCUUGCUAUCAUUAUCCAAAGAACUUACCCAUUAACCUAGGCUGCAAGGGCAGCAGCUUACGACAUAUAGGGGCCCAUUAGGUAAAACAGGAUGGACCAAGAGAAAUUGUUUCCCAACCUGUUUCCUGUGUAUCAGGGAACAGGCUGGACCGGAAGUGGCUGUCUUCUCCUGUGUCACUGAAGGAGCCGUGAAUGUUUCUUCCCAUCCACUCUGAGUUUUUGUCAUCAGUUCAGACCACAGACCCAGUUAGAGACACUGCAUUUGACUGUGAUGCGGGAGGGAGUCCCACCAUCAGGGAAUGUGUCACGGUGUCAAGGUUGAGUUUUGUGUUAGCUUCAGUGAUGUUCCAUUUGGAUUCCCCUCCCUGUACCUUCCCUUUUGGAAUAUCCUGCUCACCUCCUUCUAGUUUACAACUUUCUUGCUAUAUUUUAUGUAAGCUGCCCUGACUCCUAUGGGAGUCAACGCAAGUAUAAAUAAAUAAU
Molecule: small RNA, 1697 nt
Filed under: Pongo abelii (Sumatran orangutan)
Lineage: Eukaryota; Metazoa; Chordata; Mammalia; Primates; Hominidae
Description: retained intron
Source: RNAcentral